GAUGAACGCUGGCGGCGUGCUUAACACAUGCAAGUCGAACGAAGCACUUGAUUUGAUUUUCUUCGGAGAUGAAGAUCCUGUGACUGAGUGGCGGACGGGUGAGUAACGCGUGGGCAACCUGCCUUGUACAGGGGGAUAACAGUUAGAAAUGACUGCUAAUACCGCAUAAGACCACAGCAUCACAUGAUGCAGGGGUAAAAACUGAGGUGGUACAAGAUGGGCCCGCGUCUGAUUAGCUGGUUGGUGAGGUAACGGCUCACCAAGGCGACGAUCAGUAGCCGACCUGAGAGGGUGACCGGCCACAUUGGGACUGAGACACGGCCCAAACUCCUACGGGAGGCAGCAGUGGGGAAUAUUGCACAAUGGGGGAAACCCUGAUGCAGCGACGCCGCGUGAGUGAUGAAGUAUUUCGGUAUGUAAAGCUCUAUCAGCAGGGAAGAAAA
This 443-nucleotide ribosomal RNA is filed under the name uncultured bacterium. RNAcentral's name for it is "bacterial SSU rRNA". It matches the Rfam family "Bacterial small subunit ribosomal RNA", at positions 28 to 451 of the family's 1533-position model. The record is from RNAcentral.